This is a long non-coding RNA of Haliotis rubra (blacklip abalone), 114 nucleotides long. RefSeq lists it as uncharacterized. The transcript has 3 exons. The record is from RefSeq and is a predicted model, not a curated record. NCBI's taxonomy places the organism in Eukaryota, Metazoa, Mollusca, Gastropoda, Lepetellida, Haliotidae.
GACAAGAAUGGAGCCUCGAGUCGAGAGAGUAUAAUGGAUCGAACCAAAGAAUGAGCACAUUCUGUUGUGAUGAGAUUUCUCAUGGAGCUGAUGGUUCGCAGAUAAUAGUGACAG